GAUGAACGCUGGCGGCGUGCCUAAUACAUGCAAGUCGAACGAGACCUUCGGGUCUAGUGGCGAACGGGUGAGUAACACGUUGGUACCUGCCUCGAAGUGGGGAAUAACUGCCCGAAAGGGUGGCUAAUACCGCAUAAUACCGCAAGGUUAAAGCAGUAAUGCGCUUCGAGAGGGGCCUGCGUCCCAUUAGCUUGUUGGUAGUGUAAUGGACUACCAAGGCGACGAUGGGUAGCUGGAUCGAGAGGUUGACCAGCCACACUGGGACUGAGAUACGGCCCAGACUCCUACGGGAGGCAGCAGUAAGGAAUCUUCCACAAUGGACGAAAGUCUGAUGGAGCAACGCCGCGUGCAGGAUGACGGCCUUCGGGUUGUAAACUGCUUUUAUAUGGGAAGAUUAUGACGGUACCAUAUGAAUAAGCACCGGCUAACUACGUGCCAGCCGCCGCAGUAA
This 451-nucleotide ribosomal RNA is filed under the name uncultured bacterium. RNAcentral describes it as "partial 16S ribosomal RNA". It matches the Rfam family "Bacterial small subunit ribosomal RNA", at positions 28 to 523 of the family's 1533-position model. The record is from RNAcentral.